Molecule: ribosomal RNA, 430 nt
Filed under: uncultured bacterium
Lineage: Bacteria
Description: bacterial SSU rRNA
Rfam family: Bacterial small subunit ribosomal RNA
Source: RNAcentral
GCGGCGGCCUAACACAUGGCCAGUUCGUAACAGGGUAACGCCGUACUUGUACCUGGUGGCGAGCGGCGGACGGGUGAGUAAUGCCUAGGAAUCUGCCUGGUAGUGGGGGAUAACGCUCGGAAACGGACGCUAAUACCGCAUACGUCCUACGGGAGAAAGCAGGGGACCUUCGGGCCUUGCGCUAUCAGAUGAGCCUAGGUCGGAUUAGCUAGUUGGUGAGGUAACGGCUCACCAAGGCGACGAUCCGUAACUGGUCUGAGAGGAUGAUCAGUCACACUGGAACUGAGACACGGUCCAGACUCCUACGGGAGGCAGCAGUGGGGAAUAUUGGACAAUGGGCGAAAGCCUGAUCCAGCCAUGCCGCGUGUGUGAAGAAGGUCUUCGGAUUGUACAGCACUUUAAGUUGGGAGGAAGGGCAUUAACCUAAUAC